Molecule: transfer RNA, 72 nt
Filed under: Ovis aries (sheep)
Lineage: Eukaryota; Metazoa; Chordata; Mammalia; Artiodactyla; Bovidae
Rfam family: tRNA
About the family: Transfer RNA (tRNA) molecules are approximately 80 nucleotides in length.
Source: Rfam by way of RNAcentral
UCCCUGGAGGCUCAGACGGUAGAGAAUCUGCCUGAAAUGCAGGAGACCUGGGUUCGAUCCCUGGGUUGGGAA